AUUGCGUCGUCACCAGAAAUUUCAGUUUUGGUUCAAGUUUUUUUUGUUCCUUUCUUUCUAGACAACUAUUUUUGUUGUUUGUUUCUUCUGAGGCGGGUUCAGAAACCCUAAUCACAAAGGGCACCCCUAUUUCUCACUUUCUGCGAGCGGGAAGGGAAUGCUCGCUGAAGGGGAGGGUGAAUUGGGCGGCCCAAGCACGAGAGAGGCCACAACCUCGUUUUCCUUUUUUUUUUUACAUUUUCCGCGUUACUCUUUUUUCUUUAUAUUUGUAAUUUCUUUACGGAAAACACUCUACAAAAACAUUUGAAACAUG
Molecule: long non-coding RNA, 313 nt
Filed under: Hordeum vulgare
Lineage: Eukaryota; Viridiplantae; Streptophyta; Magnoliopsida; Poales; Poaceae
Description: long non-coding RNA (HVUL_LNC005394)
Source: RNAcentral